This 405-nucleotide ribosomal RNA is filed under the name uncultured bacterium. Its description in RNAcentral is "partial 16S ribosomal RNA". It matches the Rfam family "Bacterial small subunit ribosomal RNA", at positions 30 to 526 of the family's 1533-position model. The record is from RNAcentral.
AUUGAACGCUGGCGGCAGGCUUAAUACAUGCAAGUCGAACGAGUGGCGGACGGGUGAGUAAUUAUUGGGAAUAUCGCUUAUGGAGGGGGAUAACUACGGGUAACUGUAGCAAAUCACGCGUACCAUAGGAUGAGCCCAAGUGGGAUUAGGUAGUUGUUAGGGUAAAGGCUCACCAAGCCAACGACCUCUAGCUGGUCUGAGAGGAUGACCAGCCACACUGGGACAGAGACACGGCCCCGACUCCUACGGGUGGCAGCAGUGGGGAACAUUGCGCAAUGGGGGCAACCUGACGCAGCAAUGCCGAAUGAAUGAAGAAGGCCUUCGGGUUGUAAAGUUCUUUCGGUAGCGAGGCGUUAACUACAGAAGAAGCACCGGCUAACUACGUGCCAGCAGCCGCGGUAAUUC